AAAUGUGUUUAAUUUGUUCUGAGUGUAGUUGUACCUGAACAUGUUCUUAAUUUUUUUUUUUAAUUCUCAGUAGAUAUGCCUGUGUUAUUAUACAAAAUCAGAACAUUGGAGCUGACUUCCCUUGGAGACAUUUCUCAUUAGUGAUAGAAUAUGAUUAUUCUGAAAACUCUUGCUGGAAAAGACUGUGUGAAAAUCUAAAUAUUACUUACAUGACUUUUAAAACCAUCCUCCCUGAAGCAGUGCAAAUGGGUAAGUGCUUUCCAGACCUGUAGUAAACAAUUGGACUGACAUACAAGAGGAAAGUAUUUUCUAUUCUCUGAAAUGCUACAUUUGUGUGUGUGUGGAUGAGAAUGGGUCAUAAAUUAUGCAGGAUAAAACUAGGCAAAUAUUGCUGAUUAUCUAUACUGAAAGAUUGGAAGAUGUUUUUCUUAGGUUAUGAUCUUAGUUUUGGCCCGGAUGUGGUAGUAAGUGUUGGUGAUCCCUUAUAAAACACUUGUGCCAAGUUUACAGGUUGCUGACAGUUCAUAAAAACUGUAUCUACCCUUCCUCACACUGACGGAAUGUUCCUGUGAAUCUAAAAGAAUAAAGCUAAAUUUGAAAGCAAUUCAGAAGAGUUUAAUUUUGGGGAAAAAUAGUAUAUAAUGGAAGCAUUGUGAGGGGGAUGAAUAAAAGCUGCAUAUUUUGAAUAUAUAUCAAUUUAAAUACUGAAAUACAUCUUUAACUUUUUGCUCACUAAACUAUUAUGUAUGCAAAAUGUUUCAGGGAAUCACUGUGGUUCAUUUCUUCUGGAGGUACAGAUUCCUUAUGUGUUUUUCACCACUGAAGGUCUUCUUAAUAUGCCAGAUUUUCUUCAGCUUUUGGAAUCUCAAAUAUGGAUGAAUUAAGUAAUGAGAAAUCCUGCGACAAUGUAAUAUUGAAGCUGACAGCAUUAUCGCUCCAAUAUACGUGCUGUUGGGUUGUUUUCUGUUCCAGAGAAAGACUGAGUUUGGAGUAAGUAAAUAAAUUCUUUUGCUGUCUUGGUAUUUUUAAACA
Molecule: long non-coding RNA, 1032 nt
Filed under: Numida meleagris (helmeted guineafowl)
Lineage: Eukaryota; Metazoa; Chordata; Aves; Galliformes; Numididae
Description: lncRNA (ENSNMEG00000009507.1)
Source: RNAcentral